This 506-nucleotide ribosomal RNA is filed under the name uncultured bacterium. Its description in RNAcentral is "bacterial SSU rRNA". It matches the Rfam family "Bacterial small subunit ribosomal RNA", at positions 40 to 518 of the family's 1533-position model. The record is from RNAcentral.
CGGCGUGCCUAAUACAUGCAAGUCGAACGGUCUUUCUAUGGAAGCUUGCUUCCACUGAGAAGAUAGUGGCGAACGGGUGAGUAACACGUGGGUAACCUGCCCAUAAGAGGGGGAUAACAUCCGGAAACGGGUAGCUAAUACCGCAUAGUUUUCUUGAUUGCAUGAUCGGGAAAGGAAAGACGGCCUUUGUGCUGUCGCUUAUGGAUGGACCCGCGGCGUAUUAGUUAGUUGGUGAGGUAACGGCUCACCAAGACGAUGAUACGUAGCCGACCUGAGAGGGUGAUCGGCCACAUUGGGACUGAGACACGGCCCAAACUCCUACGGGAGGCAGCAGUAGGGAAUCUUCCGCAAUGGACGAAAGUCUGACGGAGCAACGCCGCGUGAGUGAAGAAGGUUUUCAAGAUCGUAAAACUCUGUUGUCAGAGAAGAACAAGUUGGAGAGUAACUGCUCCAGCCUUGACGGUAUCUGACCAGAAAGCCACGGCUAACUACGUGCCAGCCGCAGC